GAUGAGCGCUGGCGGCGUGCCUAAUACAUGCAAGUCGAGCGAACAGACGAGGAGCUUGCUCCUCUGACGUUAGCAGCGGACGGGUGAGUAACACGUGGAUAACCUACCUAUAAGACUGGGAUAACUUCGGGAAACCGGAGCUAAUACCGGAUAAUAUAUUGAACCGCAUGGUUCAAUAGUGAAAGACGGUUUUGCUGUCACUUAUAGAUGGAUCCGCGCCGCAUUAGCUAGUUGGUAAGGUAACGGCUUACCAAGGCGACGAUGCGUAGCCGACCUGAGAGGGUGAUCGGCCACACUGGAACUGAGACACGGUCCAGACUCCUACGGGAGGCAGCAGUAGGGAAUCUUCCGCAAUGGGCGAAAGCCUGACGGAGCAACGCCGCGUGAGUGAUGAAGGUCUUCGGAUCGUAAAACUCUGUUAUUAGGGAAGAACAAAUGUGUAAGUAACUAUGCACGUCUUGACGGUACCUAAUCAGAAAGCCACGGCUAACUACGC
RNAcentral lists this ribosomal RNA (496 nucleotides) under uncultured bacterium. RNAcentral describes it as "partial 16S ribosomal RNA". It matches the Rfam family "Bacterial small subunit ribosomal RNA", at positions 28 to 506 of the family's 1533-position model. The record is from RNAcentral.